CCAGCCCGCUCAGGUGUGCCAGCAGCCGCGGUAAUACAGAGGUCUCAAGCGUUGUUCGGAAUCACUGGGCGUAAAGCGUGCGUAGGCGGUUUCGUAAGUCGUGUGUGAAAGGCGGGGGCUCAACCCCCGGACUGCACAUGAUACUGCGAGACUAGAGUAAUGGAGGGGGAACCGGAAUUCUCGGUGUAGCAGUGAAAUGCGUAGAUAUCGAGAGGAACACUCGUGGCGAAGGCGGGUUCCUGGACAUUAACUGACGCUGAGGCACGAAGGCCAGGGAGCGAAAGGG
RNAcentral lists this ribosomal RNA (286 nucleotides) under uncultured bacterium. Its description in RNAcentral is "partial 16S ribosomal RNA". It matches the Rfam family "Bacterial small subunit ribosomal RNA", at positions 493 to 776 of the family's 1533-position model. The record is from RNAcentral.